RNAcentral lists this long non-coding RNA (2720 nucleotides) under Homo sapiens (human). Its description in RNAcentral is "non-protein coding lnc-ZNF195-1:8". Lineage: Eukaryota; Metazoa; Chordata; Mammalia; Primates; Hominidae. The record is from RNAcentral.
GCCCACAGCAUAAUGCUAGGCAAUGUCCAGCCGUUCCACCCGGCAUACAAGCUUAUGGAGCAGCCCCCUUUGAAGAUCUCCAGGUGGACUUCACAGAGAUGUCAAAGUGUAGAGGUGAUCGAGUGUGGAUCAAGAACUGGAACGUAGCCUCUUUGUGUCCACUGUGGAAAGGACCCCAGACUGUCGUUCUGAGCCCUCCCACCGCUGUGAAGGUAGAAGGAAUCCCAGCCUGGAUCCACCACAGCCAUGUAAAACCUGCAGCGCGUGAAACCUGGGAGGCAAGACCAAGCCCAGACAACCCUUUCAGAGUGACCCUGAAGAAGACGACAAGCCCUGCUCCAGUCACACCCGGAAGCUGACUGGUCCACGCACGGCCGAAGCCUGAGGAAGCUCAUCGUGAGAUUCAUUUUUCUUAAAUUUUGGACUUAUACAGUAAGGGCUUCAACUGAUCUUACUCAAACUGGGGACUGUUCCCAGUGUAUUCAUCAGGUCACCGAAGUAGGACAGCAAAUUAAAACAAUCUUUCUGUUCUAUAGUUAUUAUGAAUGUGUGGAAACAAUAAAAGAAACUUGUUUGUAUAAUGCCACUCAGUGCAAGGUAUGUAGCCCGAGAAAUGACCGACCUGAUGCGUGUUAUAACCCAUCUGAGCCCUCCGCAACCACCGUUUUUGAAAUAAGAAUAAGAACUGGCCUUUUCCUAGGUGAUACAAGUAAAAUAAUAACUAGAACAGAAGAAAAAGAAAUUCCCAAGCAAAUAACUUUAAGAUUUGAUGCUUGUGCAGCCAUUAAUAGUAAAAAGCUAGAAAUAGGAUGUGGUUCUCUUAACUGAGAAAGGAGCUAAAGAGUAGAAAAUAAAUAUGUUUGUCAUGAGUCAGGGGUUUGUAAAAAUUGUGCCUAUUGGCCAUGUGUUAUUUAGGCUACUUAAAAAAAGAACAAAAAGGAACCGGUUUAUCUUCAGAAGGGGGAAGCCAACCCCUCCUGUGCUGCCAGUCACUGUAACCCACUAGAACUAAUAAUUACCAAUCCCCUAGAUCCCCGUUGGAAAAAGGGAGAACGUGUAACCCUGGGGAUCAAUAGGACAGGGUUAAACCCUCAAGUUGCCAUUGUAAUUAGAGGGGAGGUCCACAAGUGCUCUCCCAAACCAGUAUUUCAAACCUUUUAUGAGGAGCUGAAUGUGCCAGCACCAGAACUUCUGAAAAAGACAAAAAAUUUGUUUCUCCAAUUAGCAGAAAAUGUAUGUUACUUCUUGUUAUGUACGCGGAGGAACCACUAUCGGAGACAGAUGGCCUUGGGAAGCCCAAGAGUUGGUGCCUACUGAUCCAGCUCCUGAUAUAAUUCCAGUUCAGAAGGCCGAAGCUAGCAACUUCUAGGUCCUAAAAACCUCAAUUAUUAGACAAUACUGUAGAGCUAGAGAAGGGAAAGACUUUAUCAUCCCUGUAGGAAAGCUUAAUUGUAUAGGACAGAAGUUGUAUAACAGCACAAUACAGACAAUUACUUAGUAGGGCCUAAACCACACUGAAAAGAAUCCAUUUAGUAAAUUUUCUAAAUUAAAAACUGCUUAGGCUCAUCCAGAAUCUCAUCAGGACUGGACGGUUCCCGCUGGACUAUACUAGAUAUGUAGGCACAGAGCCUACAUUCGGUUACCUAAUAAAUGGGCAGGCAGUUGUGUUAUUGACACUAUUAAGCCAUCCUUUUUCUUAUUACCCAUAAAAACGGGUGAGCUCCUAGGUUUCCCUGUCUACGCCGCCCGAGAAAAGAAAGGCAUAGUUAUAGGAAACUGGAAGGAGAAUGAGUGGCCCCCUGAAAGGAUCAUUCAGUAUUAUGGGCCUGCCACAUGGGCACAAGACGGCUCAUGGGGAUACCGAACCCCCAUCUACAUGCUCAAUUGGAUCAUACGGUUGCAGGCCAUCUUAGAAAUAAUUACUAAUGAAACUGGCAGAGCUUUGACUGUUUUAGCUUGGCAAGAAACCCAAAUGAGGAAUGCUAUCUAUCAGAAUAGACUGGCCUUAGACUACUUGCUAGUAGCUGAAGGAGGAGUUUGUGGAAAAUUUAACUUAACCAAUUGCUGCCUACAAAUAAAUGAUCAAGGACAGGUGGUUAAAAACAUAGUCAGGGACAUGACAAAGGUGGCACAUGUGCCUGUACAGGUUUGGCACGAGUUUAAUCCUGAGUCUUUAUUUGAAAAAUGGUUUCCAGCUAUAGCAGGAUUUAAAACCCUCAUUGUAGGUGUAUUGCUAGUGAUAGGAGCUUGCUUGCUGCUCCCCUGUGUAUUACCCUUGCUUUUUCAAAUGAUAAAAGGUUUUGUAGCUACUUUGGUUCAUCAGAAAACUUCAGCACACGUGUGUUAUAUGAAUCAGUAUCGCUCUAUCUCACCAAUAGACUCAAAAAGUAAAGAUGAGAGUGAGAACUCCCACUAAAAAGUGAAAAUGCUCAAAGGGGGGAAAUAUGGUGUGAGACCACCACGUCUCCUGUUGUCCUUCCCAGUUUCUCCCCAACCUCCCCUUUUCCCUAGUUUGUAAGACAGCAAAAAAGGGAGAAAGCAAAAAGUUGGAAAAAACAGAAGUAAAAUAAAUAGCCAGAUGACCUUGGCGCCACCACCUGGCCCUGGUGGUUAAAAUGACAAUAAUAUUAACCCCUGACCAAAACUACAGGUGUUAUCUGUAAAUCCCAGACAUUGUAUGAGAAAGCACUGUAAAAACUUUUUGUUCUGUUAGCUGAAGU